CUCAGGAUGAAACGCUAGCGACAGGCUUAACACAUGCAAGUCGAGGGGCAGCAUAAAGUAGCAAUACUUGGUGGCGACCGGCGCACGGGUGAGUAACGCGUAUGCAACCGUACCUAUCAGAGGGGAAUAACCCGGCGAAAGUCGGACUAAUACCGCAUAAAACAGGGACACCGCAUGGUGAUAUUUGUUAAAGAAAUUCGCUGAUAGAUGGGCAUGCGUUCCAUUAGGUAGUUGGUGAGGUAACGGCUCACCAAGCCGACGAUGGAUAGGGGAACUGAGAGGUUGGUCCCCCACACUGGUACUGAGACACGGACCAGACUCCUACGGGAGGCAGCAGUGAGGAAUAUUGGUCAAUGGGCGAGAGCCUGAACCAGCCAAGUCGCGUGAAGGAAGAAGGAUCUAUGGUUCGUAAACUUCUUUUGCAGGGGAGUAAAGUGCAGGACGUGUCCUGUUUUGUAUGUACCCUGAGAAUAAGGAUCGGCUAACUCCGUGCCAGCCGCCGC
This 503-nucleotide ribosomal RNA is filed under the name uncultured bacterium. RNAcentral's name for it is "bacterial SSU rRNA". It matches the Rfam family "Bacterial small subunit ribosomal RNA", at positions 23 to 518 of the family's 1533-position model. The record is from RNAcentral.